GAGGACACUGUUGGGACCGCCUCUGCUAAAGAGGAGGAAGGAAUGGGCAACGGUAGGUCAGCAUGCCCCGAAUUAUCCGGGCUACACGCGGGCUACAAUGGUCAGGGCAAUGGGAAAAGGCACUGAAAAGUGUAGUCAAUCUCCUAAACCUGUCCCAAGUUCGGAUUGUGGGCUGCAACUCGCCCACAUGAAGCUGGAAUCCGUAGUAAUCGCGUUUCAAAAUAGCGCGGUGAAUAAGUCCCUGCUCCUUGCACACACCGCCCGUCGAACCAUCUUAGUGAGGUUUGGAUGAGGCUGUGGUUAACUGCCACAGUCGAAUCUAGGUUUCGCAAGGAGGGUUAAGUCGUAACAAG
Molecule: ribosomal RNA, 353 nt
Filed under: uncultured archaeon
Lineage: Archaea
Description: bacterial SSU rRNA
Rfam family: Archaeal small subunit ribosomal RNA
Source: RNAcentral